Molecule: long non-coding RNA, 460 nt
Filed under: Elaeis guineensis (African oil palm)
Lineage: Eukaryota; Viridiplantae; Streptophyta; Magnoliopsida; Arecales; Arecaceae
Description: long non-coding RNA (EGUI_LNC037751)
Source: RNAcentral
ACUUUGAGGAUGACUCCCAAGUUAUACUUCUAUCAGUUUCUUUUUGAGAUCUUGAAUCUUCUGUUCAAGACCUUCUUCCCAGCAUGGCUUCUCACUAUCUGGAAUAGACUCUCCCUCGAAGGAUUGAUCAGUUUGAGUGGGAUAGUGUUUCUUGCGGAACUACCUUUUGUUGCUACUCUGUAAUAUGUUGAAGCUAUUGUACCACAAGAGUAAGAGCCUGCACUUGCUGAACUAAAAGAUUGAAUUAUUAUGGAUCAACCAUAAUUAAAGGUUGAACAGCUUUUGACAUGCUUCUUAGACAAGAUGGCGAAGGUAGAGAAUUGUUUUGUGCUAUCCAAUUCAUCAUUUUUCAUCAAAUUUUUUGGCAAACCCUUCCUCUAGAACCAAUCUAUUACUACAAGACUUCGGAGGAAAAAAGAUGAGAUCGGUCAAGAAUCAAGCUAAAGUUUUGUGAGGGAUC